AACCAGUAGAGUACUACGUAGCAGCUCUGUGUCAAAGUUAUAAAAGCAUCGAGCGUCUCGGCCACGCCUUGUGGCGAGUUGGGAGUUGGAUUUGCAAGCGAGUGUAGGAGGUUAGCCGUAGUUCAGCAUUAGCAUAUAGCAUUAGCAUAUCCUAGUCUUUAGCGUAGCUUUUAGUGUUAUACAUAUUUAGUGUUAGUUUGGCUGUUGGAUAUUGUAGUUUAGUUGGUGUUUGGCUGUUAGUGUAAUUAGGAAAGUAGUUCAGGUUUAGUGCUCCAUAUUGUGUUAGUAUGGUGAGAAGGUGCAGUGUAGUGUGGUUGCAGUGGCUCUGUGGGGUUGCACUCCUUUCCACUGGUCUUAGAAAUUAGGCGCCAGUGGUUGCGCGCAAUCGGUGUCUGGAAAACAUUCAGCUCCCGCCUGGUGCUGUAGUUUGCAACCAGCAUUUUACCCGCGAUUCUGCAUGUCUCCGUUUGAAGAGGGAGGCCGUGCCCACCGUGGCUCUUCCGCGAUUUAGAUGCAGCCCAUUGUCUCUGCUCCCCCACCAUGGCGGGCUCCAGUCUGAGGUGAGUAAGCUAAAUAAAAGUUUUAACAUCUUCUAAAGACAAUUCCCUACCUAAAUGCAAAGUUUGAGAGACGUGGUUCACUCCAUUUAGCUAAUAUCAGCCUGCGCUGCCUUUGGGCAGAUUUGUCAAGUUCACAAAAUGUGGAACGGGAUGUAAGGUUAGAAUCAGCGGCGAAUCGGAACAUAUCUCGAAGCCCUGGCCGACAAAACGGUCCACAUGACUGUUACUGUCAGGCUCAGAGAAAAUUCGGGUUGCUUUUGUGUCAGUCGGUAAUUCUGCAACAGUGGCUCUAACUAACAGCACUAGUUGACAGACAGCAUUACAGCGUGAAAUCCAGCUUGUGACCUGGUUCCGUGAGGAAUUCUGUUCAGGAGGUCGCAUUUCAUGCUCUCCACAUGUGACUGAAUUUUACGUUAUAAUAACAUCACACACUAGGAAUGUUAUAAAGCGCCUAUAUAGGACAGUUUCUUUUGUAUUUUAUCUGACUUUAUAAACUCCAACAAUAAAGUGCUUCUAUUUUUUUUCAGGCUAAAUCAACCCAAGACACUGACUGUCAGAAUGCACUUGUCCAGGCUGACGUGAAGCCUUACCCGUAGCAAAGGUGAAUUAUUUUAAUAAUCUUCUAUGUAAACAUUUUAUUAUCACCUUCUAGUUUUAAUUUGUUUUACAGAUUAUUGUUACACGUGAUUUUAUGUUCUUUUAAACAUUUAUAAAUGUGCUGUUUCUUUGUUUUUUACAUAGCCAGCCAGAAUAGAGCUCACAGCCGCAGUGUGUCUUGUAACACGGGGAUCAUGACGGAAAUUAAUCUUCCAGAAAGUCCCAGAGCAGCGUCCAUACCCCUGAAAAGACCAAGAUGUGAGGUGUCUGCUGUUGAUUCCAGCUUCCACCUCAGUGACAGUGCAAGCUCAGUGAACUGUUCAAGGUAAAAAAAAAAAAUUAAAACAUUUCAGAAUUUUUAAGAUAUUAACAAUUAAAUAAGUAUGUGAUUACAUCAUGACAUCAUGAAGGAGGCUACUGAUUCUGGCCCUGUGACACUUGGUGGUGACGUGUGAGCUGAUUCACCUGGACACUCAGCAAAAUAUGGACUCUACACCAUGAGGCAGGCACACGUUAAUACUCUAUAAGAGCACAUAAGCAUGAGGAUGUCCUCACACACCUGUAACCUAUCAGCUCAUCUGGCAGAAUAGAGAAGAGACAACACCACAUCUCCUGUUCCUGGAAAGCCUUCAGCCAUCCUUCGAUGACUGAGAACCUCCAUCAGCUCUGUCUCCUGUCUGCCUACAAUUAUUAUAAUAAAUAUUGGUUUUGACAAGUUUUUUGUGCUGCCAAAUAUCUCAUUUUGAUUCCAGUUUUGAUAUUUUAAUGGGUAUUUAUAAAUUACAUUAAUUGAAUUAUCACAUUGUUGCAUGUUUAACUAGCUCUAUUGUGAUGAAUUAAACUAGCACCUCACUGUUAAAAGCUCAUUUUAAUUUCAAGCAUGUUUAAGUAUUUAUGGACAUGAACAAAAGCAGGAAAUAUAUAAAUUGAGAUUUAUUUAAUUAAUAUGACAAAUAAGGGGGAAAGAGUCAUUGAAAGGCACAUUCUUCUGGAAGCUCCUGAUCCUGACGACACCAGCAGAGACCACCUGCAGACACCAGAGGAUCACCUACAACCAAGAGAGCAGUUAGUAUCAGUAAAUAAAUAAUGAAAUCAGGGAAGUUUUAGUGGGCUGAACACAUUACAGAAUAAUUUUCUCAUGGGGUAUUUUCAUAACUUUCUAUGCAGCAGACUGUAACUUGAGCCCAGGGCUCCUGGAGAGCUGCUAUCCAGCACGUUUCAGUGGUUUUCCUGCUUUAAUGGGUUAGAUUAGCUGUUAAGCAGCUCAGCUAUUUGUUGCUGAUUAAAACCAGGUGUGUUGAAGCAGAUAAAUCUCUAAAACAUGCUGAAUACUAGCUCUCUAGGGCCGUGGAGCCAAACCCUGCAGCUAAUCUGAUGCUAUGGCUAACGGCUACUUACCAUUCAGAGCUGGUUCUGUUGGGUCGGUUCCGGUAAUUUCAGGCAACUCACAAGCUCAAAACAAUAAGGCUCAGGUCCGCUUGUCUCCUCCAAAUAGACUUGGUCCCUUUCUUCUCGAGUGUCUGGGUACGGAGGGGGAGAAACGUCCUCCACUUCUAAUAACUGCUCAGAGUGAAGGGAGCUAGCAUCGUCUAGUUAGCCAUCGUCUUCGUCACUGCCGCGGCUCCGCCCUCUCGGUCCUCCAGGCAACGCCU
Long non-coding RNA from Nothobranchius furzeri (turquoise killifish), 2809 nucleotides. RefSeq lists it as uncharacterized. The record is from RefSeq and is a predicted model, not a curated record. NCBI's taxonomy places the organism in Eukaryota, Metazoa, Chordata, Actinopteri, Cyprinodontiformes, Nothobranchiidae.